UCCUCAUUUUGAAAUCACUGUUCACCUCAAACGCUACUUUCUCUCUCCUUCCGCCCCUCUCUUUCUCCUUCCGCCUCCGUCUCUCUCUCUCUCUCUCCUUUCUCCCAUGGCGUCCGACAACUUCCAUCCUCUUUCUCCUCCUCAUCUCCGUCACGAUCUGCACCAUCUCUGGUACUCUCUCUUUUCUUGCUCCUCUAAAAAUCUUUAAUUUCCCUAAUUUUGAUUUCCAAAACCCUAAUUAUUGAUUUAUUUUUACAACCUACAACAUCAAUGGAGGCGCGGUUGGUUUUGGCUGGUCGGAGAAGGAGAUACAAGCAGGUGAAGGUGACAGUAGGAGUUUCGCUGAGUUUAGACGCGGUGGUGGCGAGUUCUGCCUCUCUCUUUCCAUGGCGACAAUUGUUCUGACUCUUGAAGUUAUGUUUAGGUUUAUUUGGAAUUUGUCGAAAAUAUGGACGAUUUCAGGUUGUCUGGUUAGGAUUCCGUGAAAAAUUUAAAGGUCAAAGAUCCUCGCGAGAUGUAAUAUAGGCCUUGUUGUCGUCUCCAGAUGCAGCUAGGGUUCCGACGAGAAGUUAGGGUUCCGGUGAAUGAAAUAAUGCUAGACCUAGUUACACAGAUCGUGAUUCUAGCGUGUCUCAUAUAGCAUCAUCAUCUUCGGAAGAAGAAAGCAAGGUAAGCAUAUGAUAAAUCAUAAGGUGUAUGAUUUCAGGAGGAUCUCCUCCUUUUAGUUUCGGCGAUUCGGUGCGGCCUGGUGGUCUGUGGUAGCAGCUCUGUCGCCGCCUCUGCUGAUGUUACCUAGUUCAUGUUGUUGGUUGUUGUUGUUGUUGAUGCAAUAUUUGAAGAGUAGUGUCAGCUCAUGUUGCUUUGGUGGUGUUGUUAUUUGUUUUAGUUAUGAUUAAUUCAUUUUAGUUAUAAUCCCAAUAUGUAUUGUAAAUGUAAAACAAUUUUAGUUAAGAAUAAUUUCGUCUUAGUUAAACUUAGAAAAAUUGUUUGAUUACAUUAUUUUAUAUUUAAGUCAUUUUUGUUUUA
Spinacia oleracea (spinach) is the source of this 1026-nucleotide long non-coding RNA. RefSeq lists it as uncharacterized. The transcript is spliced from 3 exons. Lineage: Eukaryota; Viridiplantae; Streptophyta; Magnoliopsida; Caryophyllales; Amaranthaceae. The record is from RefSeq and is a predicted model, not a curated record.